RNAcentral lists this ribosomal RNA (563 nucleotides) under uncultured bacterium. RNAcentral describes it as "bacterial SSU rRNA". It matches the Rfam family "Bacterial small subunit ribosomal RNA", at positions 772 to 1321 of the family's 1533-position model. The record is from RNAcentral.
ACUCAAUAGAUACCCGGGUAGUCCACGCCGUAAACGAUGGGUGCUAGGUGUCGCGGGCUUUGACCCCUGCGGUGCCGUAGCUAAACGCAUUAAAGCACCCCGCCUGGGGAGGUACGGCCGCAAGGCUAAAACUACAAAGGAAUUGACGGGGGCCCGGCACAAGCGGUGGAGCAUGUGGUUCAAAUUCGACGCAACGCGCAGAACCUUACCUGGGCGUAGAAAAUAGCAGGAACCUGGUUGAAAAAUACGGGGUGGCUCUUCGGAGAACCUGUAGUUAGGUGCUGCAUGGCUGUCGUCAGCUCGUGUCGUGAGAUGUUGGGUUAAGUCCCGCAACGAGCGCAACCCUACUCGUUAGUUGCCAUCGGGUUAAGCCGGGCACUCUAGCGAGACUGCCGAUAUUCAAAUCGGAGGAAGGUGGGGAUGACGUCAAGUCCUCAUGGCCCUUAUGUCCAGGGCUACACACGUGCUACAAUGGUCGGUACAAACGGUCGCCAGCCCGCGAGGGGAGCCAAUCCGAAAAAAACCGGCCUCAGUACGGAUAAGAGUCUGCAACUCGACUCUUU